CCUACGGGAGGCAGCAGUGAGGAAUAUUGGUCAAUGGACGAGAGUCUGAACCAGCCAAGUAGCGUGAAGGAUGACUGCCCUAUGGGUUGUAAACUUCUUUUAUAUGGGAAUAAAAUGUUCCACGUGUGGGAUUUUGUAUGUACCAUAUGAAUAAGGAUCGGCUAACUCCGUGCCAGCAGCCGCGGUAAUACGGAGGAUCCGAGCGUUAUCCGGAUUUAUUGGGUUUAAAGGGAGCGUAGGUGGAUUGUUAAGUCAGUUGUGAAAGUUUGCGGCUCAACCGUAAAAUUGCAGUUGAGACUGGCAGUCUUGAGUACAGUAGAGGUGGGCGGAAUUCGUGGUGUAGCGGUGAAAUGCUUAGAUAUCACGAAGAACUCCGAUUGCGAAGGCAGUUCACUGGACUGCAACUGACACUGAGGCUCGAAAGUGUGGGUAUCAAACAGGAUUAGAUACCCGAGUAGUC
Molecule: ribosomal RNA, 460 nt
Filed under: uncultured bacterium
Lineage: Bacteria
Description: partial 16S ribosomal RNA
Rfam family: Bacterial small subunit ribosomal RNA
Source: RNAcentral